AGUGAACGCUGGCGGUAGGCCUAACACAUGCAAGUCGAACGGCAGCACAGUAAGAGCUUGCUCUUACGGGUGGCGAGUGGCGGACGGGUGAGGAAUACAUCGGAAUCUACUUUUUCGUGGGGGAUAACGUAGGGAAACUUACGCUAAUACCGCAUACGACCUACUGGUGAAAGCAGGGGAUCUUCGGACCUUGCGCGAUUGAAUGAGCCGAUGUCGGAUUAGCUAGUUGGCGGUGUAAAGGCCCACCAAUGCGACGAUCCGUAGCUGGUCUGAGCGGAUGAUCAGCCACACUGGAACUGAGACACGGUCCAGACUCCUACGGGAGGCAGCAGUGGGGAAUAUUGGACAAGGGGCGCAAGCCUGAUCCAGCCAUACCGCGUGGGUGAAGAAGGCCUUCGGGUUGUAAAGCCCUUUUGUUGGGAAAGAAAAGCAGCAGGUUAAUACCCCGCUGUUCUGACGGUACCCAAAGAAUAAGCACCGGCUAACUUCGUG
Molecule: ribosomal RNA, 492 nt
Filed under: uncultured bacterium
Lineage: Bacteria
Description: partial 16S ribosomal RNA
Rfam family: Bacterial small subunit ribosomal RNA
Source: RNAcentral